GAAAUUUGGACAAUGGGCCAAAGCCUGAUCCAGCAAUGCCGCGUGCAGGAUGAAGGCCUUCGGGUUGUAAACUGAUCUUGUACGGAACGAAAAGCCUUGGGUUAAUAACCUGGUUUCAUGACGGUAACGUAAGAAUAAGCCCCGGCUAACUACGUCCCCACAGCAGCGGUAAUACGUAGGGUGCGAGCGUUAAUCGGAAUUACCGGGAGUAAAGCGUGCGCAGGCGUUUUUGUAAGACAUAGGUGAAAUGCCCGGGCUCAACCUGGGAACUGCCUUUGUGACUGCAAGGCUAGAGUACGGCAGAGGAGGGUGGAGUUCCGCGUGUAGCAGUGAAAUGCGUAGAUAUGCGGAGGAACACCGAUGGCGAAGGCAACCCCCUGGGCCUGUACUGACGCUCAUGCACGAAAGCGUGGGGAGCAAACA
This 423-nucleotide ribosomal RNA is filed under the name uncultured bacterium. RNAcentral's name for it is "partial 16S ribosomal RNA". It matches the Rfam family "Bacterial small subunit ribosomal RNA", at positions 359 to 774 of the family's 1533-position model. The record is from RNAcentral.